Molecule: long non-coding RNA, 11172 nt
Filed under: Setaria viridis
Lineage: Eukaryota; Viridiplantae; Streptophyta; Magnoliopsida; Poales; Poaceae
Description: long non-coding RNA (SVIR_LNC005620)
Source: RNAcentral
GUUGAGAAAGGAAAAAGAAAAAGGAAACGGGCCAGUAGGCCCAGUAGGGGAAUAAGAGGCCGACGGGUAGAGUAAAUAGGAGUAAAGGUGGGUCCGAGCCGCGGGCCCAGCGUAAGAAAGAGGGGGUAGGGUAAGGGUGCGUGAGAAAAGUAGGCCAGGGGUUUUUCGGGAAAAUUUAGAUUUCCUUUUGUAGAAUAAUAGAUUAAAUCCGGUUAUCACCAUUUAAAUCACAGAAAUUUCUAGGGGUGUCCAAAAUUAGUGAAACCAAUUUUGUUAGGAUUGUUUUAUUUUCCUUUAUGCAUUAAAAUUUUUAUACCCUAGGAAAAAUAAUAAAAAUUUAGGUAUUUGUUUAAUGCCUUUUCUUUAAGGUAUUUGAAUAAAUACUUAAUCUUUAUUAAAUGCAUAAAAUAUGGAAUAACAUUUUUAUAAUCACAAAUUAUUGUUAACUCAUAGGAAAUUAGGUUUCAAGACUAGAAAAUAAUUACAACGUUUUCCUAAAAAUAAAAGAAAAAGCCUAAGGUAAGGUUAGUAAAGGAAAUAUAUAUGGUGGGUUAAUCUUUUCUGGUUUUUGUGUGUUGGCUUGCAACUUUAUCAUGAUAAGUUGUAUUGUCCCUUGUUGGCUUGCAACUUUAUCAUGAAGGAAAGUUGUAUAGUCCUGUAUUCAAAAAGUUGCAUCACUAACCCCUGCAUAUGCUUUAUCAUAGACACCGAAGCACCGGAAGGGGAUUUCUCAGAAUUUUCAGAAGGAUCUCCGGAGUUUGAAGAGAUCAUUGAGUUGGUCCCCUGCGAAGCCGAUCCAACAGGUAGUGCUAACAUUUUUAUAGAACAAGGCAAGCCCCAGUGCAUUAUACCUACUUAUUUUGGUAGUAUUAUUUCAUGUGUCCAAUUAUCGAUUAUUUUCUAUAUGAAUGCACUAAGUCUAGGAGUUGAUUGAAACCCAUUCUUGUGCAUUAUCACACCUUGUUUUAAGGACAUCUUUGCUACUUGUUCAAACAUUUAGUAAGUAUCCCAAGUCUAGAAAUGCUUAGUUGCCUAAGUAAUUUGUUUACCAAACCUUAAGGUGAAAUGUUGGGUCAUACAUGCUAAGUAUGGAAAGGUAGCUUGAAGGUUAAAAGGCAGACAGAAGCUAAGGAUGUAGUUCUGUCUACUAGAUUAAUUUGGUUAAGGCCCAAUCAUUGUCUUAACCUUUGAUCAAGUGAAUGACACCUGAUUACUUACUGGGUAUGGGACCAGUAAAGCCUAGUAGGUUAGUAAACCCUCGGAUCGGGAAUACUUCGUACCCGUGCUUGACGUGCUGGAGAUUGGCAGGGGCGUAGCCUGAAACUCACAUGGAGAUCAGGCCAGACGUGGGGUCCCAUGUGGGGGUGCGUCCCUGGGUCCAGGUAGUCUUAUUCCCAAUCCUUGGAUUUGCUAAUCGAAAGGUCGUUAUGUACGACCUGGACAGUCGUGCAUGACUAAUAAUCAGGGUACUCUCCUGCAGGAUGUAAUUUGAUCCGGAUCGCCGCAAUUCUCGGUUAUGAAUGCACUUGAUCACUGUUGAGCAUCGUAGUAUAAAUUCAUGAAUGCAAUAUCUUUCCACUAAUGUUUUGGUGUAUGACUUAAUACCUUGAUGCUUACAAAUGUUUAUUUUUGUCAUCAUUUAUAAUGAUUAGGUAAUAACUUAAGUGUAAUACAAGAUAAAGCUAAGGACGAAAUUUUAGUAAGCUCUUUAGCAAAAAGGUGUGUCAGCCAGUACACCCAAAAAGCUAUCAUAUAGUUCCAGGAAAGGUUAUUAUAUUGGUUAGUCGGGUAAGCCUUGCUGAGUACCCCAUGCUUAGGGUUAUCCCUUGUGGCUGUUUUCAGAAGCACCACAGAAGUCCACCGAGGAGGAAGCCCCGAAAAACUAGGGUAUUGUUAUGAGUCUCGCAAUACCCUUAGAAGAAAUCUUUCAAUGCUCAUCUCCCACCUGAACCCGUUUAUGUUUAAUUCAUAGAACCUCUGUCUGACAUGCACUGUUAAGUUUAUUUCAAACUACAUCUUGUAAUAACUCAUACCUCUUGUAUGUAUGUAAAAAUGUAAUAUUUGUUGAUGCUUCCCAUCGUGGAAACAAUCCUGGUGUAUGGCUAUGAGACGUGACGUGGAUCAUUCGAGGAGUCCUAGGGACACUCGACGGACGACCGGGCUUAUACUGUUUUAAGUGCAUUUCAAAUAAUUGUUGUUCCAACAGCGAUUAGGCGCAUUUAAACCAGUUUAAGUUGGGCGGUUCCGCCACAGCUGGUAUCAAAGCCAUAGGUUGGGAUAAUCAACAAAUAUUACCAUUUAAAAACUGAGACUCUAUUUAAAUAAACAAAACAUGAGUCAUAGGUGGCAGUAGUAUUAACCGGUUGUUUGUUUUGCAGAUGCUAACUGUUUGCUGCGUGUCGCUAGUACUCGAUAGUAUAUUAUUAGGGAGAGAUUAUGAUGCCACCAAUUUUUCUACGAGUGUGUAUAUGAGUCUGUGAGUACGUAGGAGUCAUUGCAUCAUGUUGCAUAAGCAUGUUUUAAAAACUUUUGGGUUUGGUGAAUGCCGUUAGACCUAACCUCGUUUCUUUUAUAGGAUGUUCCAAGAAGGAUACACAGAUCAAGACGGAUGGACCUGAGGACAUUACCUGAACAAGCCAGGGUUUGUGCAGCUGUUAUGGAAGACGUUGCAGGAGUUAGGCUUCCAUAACCCUCCAGAGUAUUAUUGGAGGAAGGAGGAUACCUAUCAUAAGCAGUGUUGUACUGUUUAUGUCCAUAUCCUAGAUGAAGACACAAACCCCAAUUGGUGUCUUGAUGAAGUUAUGGAGUCGGGCUUUGAGUUUAAUGAUACAAUUGAAAGGGCAACUAUGACCGCUCUCACAGAUCUAUGCGAGAAACAUAAAGUAGAAAUAGGGUCGAGCUCUGCUCGAUUCUAUCCUAUAAAGCAUCAAGAUGAUGGAAUUUGGAAGAGGAGGAUCAAAGCCUUGAAGAAUUCUUCUCGCGUGGAGCAUGACAUUUUGGUUGCUGCUGCCUCCGACUAUAUGACCACCAUGUACAACCUGCAUCAGUCCUGCAUCAGGGAAUAUUAUAAUCAGAGAAAGAGAAAUGAGGAUGUCAAGAUGGAGGUAAUGGGUGCCAGGCACGAUAAAGAAUUGUACAAGAAAGCGGCACUAGCAAGGGAACAUGACAUGGAGAAGAUCAUGAGAGAACAGUCCAGGAGGAUAGAUGAAUAUGAAGAGAAGCUCAGGGCAAUGAAGGAAUUCAUGGAUGCCAAUAGGAAUACGACAGAUAGGGCAAAAGAAGAGGCUGAAUCCAAUGUUAACAGGCUUGAGGCAGAGAGAUUUCAGCAGCUGGAUGAAAUCUUAUCUCUUCGUCUGGCUCUAGAAGAAAUGCAGGCUCAGGUACCUACCCAGAACAUAGUAAACGUUCCACCACCUCCACCACCAGAAGAACCACAGCCGCCGAUCCCAGAAGAAGCAGAUCAGUUGGUGGACGUUGUAGGUGUGGAGGGUGAUAUGGCUCCACCUGCAGCUCCCGAGAUCGACUUGUAUGCCCAUGAAAAUUUAGAAGGUUUUGAUGUUGAUAUGGAAGAUGAUCUGGGUGAAGCUCCAAUGGAAAACCAUCACUUCGCCUGGGCCGAUGCAAAUGCCGAUGGGUUAGAUCCACAAGGAUAUGGACCUAUGCAACAGUGGGGUGAAGCCGAGCAGGAAGGCGGGGAAGAAGAAGAAGAUCCAGAUGAAAUGGAGGGAAGUUCUGGUGUCAGCACCUCUGCAUCAUAUACCUCCUACACUUCAAGUGACCUCGUACCAGAGUCGAAAAGUGAGAAUUCACUAAAUUAGCCCCCACCUGUCGCUCCUCCGGGACAGAAACUGAUGACGGUGGAUCAGGACGUUCUGCAAGCUACGAUGGCCCGGCUAGGAAUAAAUGCUGAAGAGUUAGGCAUCUAUCCCUAUGAUGGCUAAAGCAAGAUCAUGAACAAGAAGUGUUAUGGUGUAUUUAUGUAAGAUAAAUGCAGUGGGACGGAGUAGUGUGGUGUUUUUGUAAAAAAAUCAAACUCCGGGUCAUGUAAUAUAAAUAAUCAUGUAUAUAAGUGUGGUUUGUGUGUAUUUACAAUAGUUAUGUUGUGAUGUGUGGAAUACAAGCAUACUCAUGGAACUGUUGGCAAACUAUGGCUUAGAUAUUAAUACUCUGUUUGAUUUUGACAGCAUGACGGAUCCGAUAGGUCCUCGAGCUUCGGGGUUAGGGGGCCACAAGGAAAACUUACCGAGAGCCCCAACGUUGGCUGAUGCCAUAGCUAGCCUCAUGAAUUCAGGAGCUGAACAGGCUCGACUGCUUUAGAUGAUUGUGCAAAACACUGGAAAUGGUGGAAACUGACGGGACCCAGAACGUGGUGUAUCUUACACCUAGUUUUUGGAAACUCGUCCUCCGAUAUUCCUGAAAGCUGAGCACCCACUAGAGGCUAAUAUAUGGCUUCAGACGAUGGAGCAGAAAUUUCAGGUGAUUCCCCAAUGCACCACCACCCAGAAGGCAGAGUUUGCCAGACUCCAACUCCAGGGUCCCGCCAGGACCUGGUGGACCAGCUAUUUGGCAAGGCAACCUGUCGGAAGGGAGGUUACUUGGGAAAACUUUAAGGAAGCCUUCCGAACGCAGUUUGUACCAGAAGGGAUUAUGCGAAUGAAGCUGGAACAAUUUCUAGGGCUGCAGCAAGGGACUCGUAGUAUCCUGGAUUACACCAAUGAGUUUGAUCACUUGGCCCAGUAUGCACCGGAACAUGUUAACACGGAGUCCAGAAAGAGGGACUGCUACCUUCGCAGGCUCAAUGCACGGAUGCAGGAGAAGUUGUCUACCUGCACCUUUGCUGAUUAUAGUUCUGCGGUAAGUACAGCUAUUACUGCAGAAGAGAAAAUGAGAAUUUUAGAUGAAACUUUGAAGAAAGAAGAAUCUUUGAAGAGAAAGAAUAUUUCUUUUGGAACCUUCGGGAAUGCCCCGCAGAGGAUGAAGGUAGUAUACCGAGGUCCUCCUCGACCCGCGUAUCGGCCUUCUUUUUAGCAGAGGCCAUUUCAGCCCUGGAAUAUCAAAAAUCCUACCAAUACUCCUCGUCCUGGAAAUGCGACACCUCUUGGGUAUCGCAGCCAUACUCCUCAAGGGAAUCCACAUGUUUGUUUUAACUGUGGAAAGCCGGGACACUUUGCCCGGGACUGCCGUUUUCCCAAAACUGGGGGAAAUGCAAAUUUGAGGGCUCAAACCUCUGGUCAGGGCACCGAACAAAAGUUUGUUCGCCGCAAAUUUCUGAAUACCAAGACAGGGCAGGCUCACUAUAUGAAUGUGGAGGAGAUCCCAGAAGGUGAACCUAUUUUGGCAGGUACGUACUUUGUCAAUGAUUAUCCUACCAUAAUUCUAUUUGAUUCGGGUGCAUCGCAUACUUUUAUAAGUAGAGAGUUUGUUAAGCAACAUCACCUAGAAGUGCACACCUUAAAUGUCAAAUAUGCUAUUCAAGCUACUGGAGCUACUCAGAAUACAAAUCAGGUAGCUCGCAAUGUGAUUUUGAAUUUAGAAGGAAAUAAGGUGGGUGCUUAUCCUUUAAUUUUGGAAGAUCAAGGAAUAGAUAUUAUUUUGGGGGUAAAUUGGAUGAAGGAACAUAAAGUUCAAAUUGAUAUGGAUAACCGGGUCGUUAGUAUGAAAGAUGACCAAGGCCAUCCUUUUGAGCUCCAAUUACCCGCUCAUCCUUGUCUAGACCAGAUGGUCAAAAAGACUAGAGCAGUGGCUCUAGAAUCUAUUCCCGUGGUUAAUGAGUUUGUAGAUGUGUUUCCAGAAGAUCUCCCUGGACUACCGCCUGAUAGAGCGGUAGAAUUUACUAUUGAGUUAGAACCUGGCACUGCUCCUAUCUCAAGAAGACCAUAUCGAAUGCCACCUAAGGAGGUAGCAGAAUUAAAAGUCCAACUCCAAGAUAUGCUAGAUAAAGGUUUUGUCCGACCUAGCACUUCACCAUGGGGCUGCCCUGCACUAUUUGUUAAAAAGAAAGAUGGCACAUUGAGGUUGUGUGUGGAUUACCGCCCUUUGAAUGCGGUAACCAUUAAGAACAAGUAUCCGUUGCCACGGAUUGACUUAUUAUUCGACCAACUAGCUGGAGCCAAGGUCUUUUCAAAAAUCGACCUUCGGUCAGGAUAUCAUCAGAUUAAGAUAAAGCCCGAAGACAUACCUAAAACAGCCUUCUCAACCCGAUACGGAUUAUAUGAGUACCUGGUUAUGUCUUUCGGACUGACAAAUGCCCCAGUGCAUUUUAUGUACCUCAUGAAUUCGGUAUUCAUGCCAGAAUUAGAUAAAUUUGUGGUCGUCUUUAUAGAUGAUAUCCUAGUCUUUUCUAAAAAUGAAGAGGAACAUGCGCAACACCUGCGUAUUGUUCUAAGUAGACUCCGGGAACACCAAUUAUAUGCCAAGUUCAGUAAAUGUGAAUUCUGGUUAAAGAAAGUUCCAUUCCUUGGGCACGUUUUGUCUGAAAAAGGGAUUGAAGUAGACCCCGAAAAAGUCAAGGACAUAUUGGAUUGGAAACCACCAACCUCUGUUCAUGAAGUGAGGAGUUUCUUGGGAAUGGCCGGGUAUUACCGUAGGUUUAUUCCUAACUUCUCGAAAAUUUCCAAGCCAAUCACGGAGUUGUUAAAGAAAGAAGUGAAAUUUGGGUGGAACCCCGGAUCUGAAGAAUCAUUUCAGACAUUAAAGAAGCUACUAACUACAACACCAGUACUAGCUCAGCCUGAUUUAGAGAAGCCCUUUGAUGUAUACUGUGACGCCUCAGGGACAGGGAUAGGAUGUGUUCUUAUGCAAGAAGGCAGAGUUAUUGCUUAUGCUUCUCGUCAACUGAAGUGUCAUGAAGAGCAUUACCCUACCCAUGAUUUAGAGCUUGCUGCUGUAGUCCAUGCAUUAAAGAUAUGGCGGCACUAUCUCUUAGGUAGUGAAUGUCGUAUAUUUACUAACCAUAAUAGCUUAAAGUAUAUUUUCACUCAAAUGGACUUGAACAUGAGGCAGAGGUGGUGGCUGGAGCUAAUUAAAGAUUAUAAGCUAGAAAUCCACUACCAUCCUGGUAAGGCCAAUGUGGUGGCUGAUGCUUUGAGCAGAAAGGCCCAAUGCCAUUGUACUACUAUUCAGUCUAACCUUAAGACCCUGUGUGAAGAAUUAGAAGAUUUAAGCUUGGAAAUAGUAAAACAAGGUGCCCUCCAGAACAUUAUUGUGCAAGACACCCUAAAAGGAAGAAUCAUAACAGCCCAAAAAGAAGAUCCUUGGAUCAAGGUACUUUAUCAGCAGAAAGCAGAAGGAAAGAUUUCUGAACUCACUCAAGAACAGGAUGGGGGACUAUAUUUCAAGAAAAGGAUAGUAGUUCCUAAGGAUGAAAGCCUAAGAAAGUUGAUCUUGGACGAAGCACACUUGUCUGAGUUCGCCAUUCAUCCCAGAAGCAACAAAAUGUACCAAGAUUUAAAGCAGAGAUUCUGGUGGGCCAGGAUGAAACCUGAAAUUGCAAGGUAUGUAGCCGAAUGCGACACCUGCCGGAGAGUUAAACCAAUCCUAAAAAGUCAGCGGGUUUGCUUCAGCCUUCGGAAAUCCCUGUCUGGAAAUGGGAAGAUAUUUCCAUGGACUUUAUAGUUGGACUACCUACUACUUCAAAAGGGUAUGAUUCCAUAUGGGUUAUUGUCGACCGACUUACUAAGUCAGCCCAUUUCAUCCCCGUCAAGACUACAUAUCCAGUGUCAACAUAUGCAAAGAUCUAUAUAGCUCGGAUAGUGUCUCUGCACGGAGUACCAAAGACAAUUACCUCAGAUCGAGGCUCCCAGUUUGUUUCCAGAUUUUGGGAACAACUGCAAAAAGACAUGGGAACUACUCUAAUCAAAAGCUCGGCCUAUCAUCCUCAAACAAGGGGACAGACAGAGAGAGUUAACCAAAUCUUGGAAGACAUGUUACGAGCUUGUUACCUUCUCUAAGCUAUGGGACGAAUGCUUGCCCCUAGCCGAGUUCUCCUAUAAUAAUAGCUAUCAAGCUAGUAUUAAAAUGGCACCUUUCGAAGCCUUGUAUGGUCGAAGAUGCCGAACCCCCUUGAAUUGGUCGAAAGCAGGAGAAAGGACACAUUUGGGAUCAGAUUUGGUUAUGGAAACCGAAGAAAAGGUCCGGAAGAUUCGUAAACAUUUAGAAAUAGCCUAGUCUCAACAAAAGAGUUAUUCAGACAAAAGGAGACGGUCUUUAGAAUUUCAUGUCGGAGACUUUGUGUACCUGAAGGUAUCUCCGAUGAAAAAAGUACAACGUUUUGGAGUAAAAGGUAAACUAGCCCCAAGGUAUAUUGGUCCUUAUGAGGUUCUGGAACGAAAAGGUCCGGUAGCAUACAAGCUUUCAUUACCAGACCAGCUUGCUUCUAUACAUGAUGUAUUUCAUAUAUCCCAGCUUAAGAAGUGUUUAAGAGUUCCAGAAGAAAUUCUAGAAGAUCCAGAAAUUGAGCUCGAGCCAGACCUGACUUACGAGGAAAGGCCUAUUAAAAUUCUGGAUCAAAAGACAAGAGAUACCCGAACUCGGAGUAUUACGUUUUACAAGGUACAAUGGAAGAAUCAUACUCCAGAUGAAGCUACUUGGAAGGUAGUUGAAGACCUAGAGUCCAAAUACCCUGAGCUAUUUGAAACUGUCAAGAUCAGAUGAACAAAAGCCACCACCCCACUUUCUUUAUACAGAAAAGAGAGAGAUAUUGUGUCUGAGGUAGUUUCCUUUCCAUUCUCAAAGUAAAGAAUUUAACCCCUGGAAUCUCGGGACGAGAUUCUGUUAAGGGGGAGAGGCUGUAACACCUGGUAUUUAGCCAUCAAAAGUAAUUCAGAAGAAUUAAAGGCAAAUUAUGAAGAAAAAAGACAAGAAAUUGGCUAAAAGUCAAAAUCGAGUCAAAUUUGACCAAAAUUUGAAUUUUGAAUUCGAAAUUCCAAAAAAUUGGGCAAAAAUAUGGAAUGGAAGGAUAAGAGUGUUUAGAACUUGGUGAUCAAGAUUGUAGACAAAAAAAAAACCUGGUCCUAAACAUCUCAAGAAAGCCAAAGGAAAAAUCAAAAUAGAAGUGUACUGUUCACCAUCAGAAAAUAGGAUUUCAGAAAAACAGCACAAGUGUCCAUUUUGGAAAUUGUUUUCUGCCAAAAUUUUCAAAUAAGUGGACCAAAGCAACUACAUAGCAAUGAAGUAUGAACAUUGGACAAGUAUAUUCGGGUGUUGUUGAUCAGGAACGGUAAAGGGAUCAAAUUCAAAUUUUAGCUCAAAGUCAGCACUUUGCCACGGUAGACUGAACUGCUGAAACUGUCUAAGUCUGAAACAGCAAUAAGUAGCUAAGUUUGGAGCAAAUUUUAGAAGAAUGUAGAGUAAGAGGUAUAAGUGUUUAUGAGCAAAAUGGAAUCUUUGAAAGUUGUAGAACACAAGUGGGAAGUAGUUGGACUAAAAGGAAUGAGUUUGGGCCACUGAAAUUAAAUCAACAGAAGUGAAAAUGACCAUGUUGAAGGUCUGAUGAACUGAAUGAGGUGUUCAAAGGGGGAUUCAGUUAACUGAGGGAAAGAAUUCGAAAAUUUCCAACAAUUGGAUGUUUAUCUCGGGUAGGAGUUUAAAUAUGAAUUAAAGAGCUCAAGUUUAUCUCCAACUUUGCUUAAAGGGCUCUUGGACCCUUGGAUGCAAAAUCGACCGUAGCUACACUCUGAACUUCGGGUGUCACAGAAACAAAGAGGGGGGGGGGGGCGACAGAGCAGAGCACGACGUGUCACCCCCGGCGCUCCUGCCACGCUGUCCAGCUCGACAUCUAGGCCACCUCCGCGCCACGCGAGUCUAUAGCUAGGCCACGGUGUCGACCAUGCGCACGGUGAAACUUCAUAUAUCUACCGCUCCCGCCGUCAUGUUACCGUCUGCCUUUUUUACCACUGCCACCCUCUCUGUCAAGCCACUGCCGCCGACCAAAAAUUCCACUGCCACAACUCAUCUCCCGUCAAUUCCUCUCGCCUACUCCUCCGCAGAUACCUCACCUACAGCCCGGCUAACUUGUUGUCCAACCUCUCCGCCGGGGUGCGCGUAAGCGUCGCCGUUCUCGUCCGCCACCGCCGCACCUCCUGCUCACGGUGAGCACCUCCUUGCCGUCGUUCUCUUUCCUUGUGGACAGUCGUAGGUGAGUCCUUGGGGUACUAGGAAGCUGUAGGGGUAGUCGACAAUGUAGGCCGCACCGUCAUCGUGCUUAGUCACGGCCGGCCGUUAGCGCCGCCGCCGUGGAGAGGAUGUCUCCGGCCACCUCCCAGGGAGCUACCGCCGCGCACAGGUACGCUAGGGCAUGGGGAUGCUUCCCCAGCCCGGCCUCAUCACCGGUGGGGCGCCGGCCGGCGAGCCGCGCCGCCCCCUGCCGUGCUCAGGUUUUGGCGCGAGAUAGAAGAAGGCUCUGGUGUUAGCAAGCCCGCACGUCAGGGAAGAAAGGGAGGAAGGAGGCCGGCCGGGCGAAGCCGUCGGAUGGGCCGGAGUUCCGUAGGCCCAGAAGCCGUUGUGAGGUCAUCGGGCGUCUUGGAAGGCCGGGGGCCCGUGAGGUCCGGCAGGCUGGUAGGCCAAUGAGGCGGGCCGGAAGCUACGCGAAAGGAGGAAAAGGGAGCAAUGGGCCGUUGGGCCGGUGCCGGGUUGAGAAAGGAAAAAGGAAAAGGAAACGGCCCAGUAGGGGAAUAAGAGGCCGGCAGGUAGAGUAAAUAGGACUAAAGGUGGGUCCGAGCCGCGGGCCCAGCGUAAGAAAGAGGGGGUAGGGUAAGGGUGCGUGAGAAAAGUAGGCCGGGGGUUUUCCGGAAAAAUUUAGAUUUCUUUUUGUAGAAUAGUAGAUUAAAUCCGGUUAUCACCAUUUAAAUCAUAGAAAUUUCUAGGGGUGUCCAAAAUUAGUGAAACCAAUUUUGUUAGGAUUGUUUUAUUUUCCUUUAUGCAUUAAAAUUUUUAUACCCUAGGAAAAAUAAUAAAAAUUUAGGUAUUGUUUUAAUGCCUUUUCUUUAAGGUAUUUGAAUAAAUACUUAAUCUUUAUUAAAUGCAUAAAAUAUGGAAUAACAUUUUCAUAAUCACAAAUUAUUGUUAACUCAUAUGAAAUUAGGUUUCAAGACUAGAAAAUAAUUACAACGUUUUCCUAAAAAUAAAAGAAAAAGCCUAAGACCCUCCUUUUUUAAUGCUUAUGGGGAUGUUUUC